ACUCCAGUCACUUUCCAGGCAAGACAGGGCUACCUUCAGCAUCUCUAGUGAAAGUGGUGAAUUAGCACUUCAGAAGUGAGAUGGCAUGGACAGAAGCUUCUGGGGCUGAGCUCACCAUUGGAAGCUUCUUUCCAGCUUCCUGAAGGUCUCUGGAGGUCUCUUCUUACCGGGGAGGAUGAUCCCUGGUGGCUCCCUGCUGACAUUCUUCAAAACUCGGCUAUUUCCCCAGUGUCCUGCUGAUAAAACAGAAGAGGAAAUGAUGAAAGUAGGUUGCUCUAUUAUUAACUCAUCUUUUAAUUUCAGUUCGUUUGUUUUAGUAUGUUUCUUGAUGCUAGGCAUGACACCCAUUCAUUCAUUCAUUUAUUCAUUAAACAAAUGUUUAUCAAUGAUAUGUGACAUUCUAGGCACUAUUCUAGACAUUCUAGGCACUAUUCUAGACAUUUAGAAUACAGCAGUGAACAAAAUAAAGAUCCCUACCAGUGUGAAGCAAACAUUCUAGAGGGGAAAAAAGGCAAGAAACAAUAACACAACAGCACAGUUUAUUGUCUCUAAGAUGGCAGUGAUACAAGAUGCACUGCUAGUCUAUGUGCCACUAAAGAAAGAAAGAAUGCUGCUAAUAAAUUGCUGCCAUUAUAGAAUGCAUCUUGAUUUUAUGUAUGUUAAGAUGUGAAACUUAGAAUUGAUUACAUAAGAUAAAUAAACUAUAAUAUAUCAAAAUGUGGCUAUGAAAAAAGUGAAGCUGGGAGGGGAGUGGUGAUAUUGAACAAAGGCUUGAAAGAAAUGGGACUGUUAAAUUAAUGGCAACUAUUUUUGCAAAACUGCUUUAUUGAGAUGUAAUUUAUAUAUAAUAAAACUCACCCUUUUAAGUGUAUAAUCCAUUUUAGUAAGGUUACAGAGUUACACAAACAUGAUCUAGAUUACCAUGAUCUAGAUUUAUAAUAUUUCUUUCUUUUUUUUAAAAAAAAGAACACGUAACAGGAGAUCUAUCUCUUAACAAAUUUUUAAGUGUACAAUACAGUGUUGUUAACCAGAGUCACAAUUUUGUACAGCAGAUCUCCAGAACUUAAUCAUCUUGAAUAACUAAAACUUUAUAACCCUUGAAUAAUACCUUUCCAUUUAUACUGCCCCAUCCCCUAGCAACCACCAUUCUACUCUGUUUCUAUGUGUUUGACUUUAGAUACAUUUAGAUACUUAUGUAAGUGGAAUUAUGCAGUGUUUGUCCUUUUGUGACUGGCUUAUUUCACUUAGCAUAAUGUCCUCCAGGCUCUUCCAUGUUGUAGCAUAUGGUAGAAUUUUUUUAAAGCUGAAUAAUAUUCUACUGCAUGUGCAGUAUGCCACAUUCUCUUUAUCCAUUCAUCCAGCAAUGAACAUUUGGGUGGUUUCCACCUCUUGGCUACUGUGAAUAAUGCUGAAAUUAACAUGGGAGUGCAGAUAUCUCUUUGAGGUCCUGAUUUCAAAUCUUUUGGAUAAAUCCCCCAAAUGGGAUUGUUAGAUCAUAUAGUACUUCUAUUUUGAUUUUUUCAUGAACCUCCAUACUGUUUUCUAUAGCAAUUGCACCAUUUUACAUUCCUACCACAGUGUGCCAGGAUUUCAGUUUCUCAACAGCUUAGCCAACACUUAUCUUUGUUUUUUUUUUUUUUUGGUUUUUUUUUUUGGAUAAUAGACAUCCUAACAGCUGUGAGAUGAUAUCUCAUUGUAGUUUUGAUUGUAUUUUCCUGAUGACUAGUGAUGUUGAGUACCUUUUCAUAUACCUAUUGGAAUGGCAGCUAUUUAUUGAACAACUAUGAUAUCCAAGAGGGCAGAUAUCAUUUGUUUACCACUGUGUCCCCACUGCUAAAGCAUCUGGCACAUGGUAGGUACUCAAUAAACAUUUGUUGAAUGAAUGAGCUACUAUUCAUAUAUGCCAGGUACUUCACAGUGAAUUCUUAUCAAAUGUUUGGAGGUAAGCAUGGUCAUGCCUAUUUUAUGAACGGUGAAACUGAGGCUCAGAAAAGUAACUUGUUCCUGGUCACAAACCCAGGUGAGGAGAAUAUAGUACUUGAACCCAGGUCUCUCUGAUGUUAACAUGUAAACUCUUCCUCUACAUCUCACUGGCUUCUCUGCUUCUGGCCAUUUUAAUAUCCCUCUGGUACAAAAAUAAAAAUAAAAAAAAAUUGGAACACCAGGCAAGCAGGGGCUUUGGAUAAAAAUCAGACUCAUAGAAACCAGAAUGAAACCUUUGGGAAUAGAAAGCCCAAUUCACUGCCUGGGAAAUGUCACAUUUUGUGGAGGUGCAAGCAGUUGGCUUGUUAUCUCAGAUCUCAAGUUCUAGCUACUUUCACUUUAAAAUCUAUUAUUUGAGUGAAUUAAGACUCCCUGCCUCCAAAGAGACGAUUUUUUUUAGUAAAAACUCUCCCUUGUUAAACAGUUUAACUCAAACUGGCAGCAUAACUGUUAAAAACAAACUUACUUUGAUACUUUGCAAAGCAUAAGGCCAAAUAACAAUGGACAUGGAAACCCACCACAGUCUUUCUAAGACUAAGUCAAACAUCCUAUAUAUAGAAAAACAUCUUGGGUAAAAUCUGUUAAGCCAAUAUUGGCUGAAUUCAAAAUUACACCUAAUUUGAAACAACUGCUUUUUCCU
Molecule: long non-coding RNA, 2623 nt
Filed under: Homo sapiens (human)
Lineage: Eukaryota; Metazoa; Chordata; Mammalia; Primates; Hominidae
Description: HSALNT0319648
Source: RNAcentral